This 31854-nucleotide long non-coding RNA is filed under the name Hordeum vulgare. RNAcentral's name for it is "long non-coding RNA (HVUL_LNC007640)". Lineage: Eukaryota; Viridiplantae; Streptophyta; Magnoliopsida; Poales; Poaceae. The record is from RNAcentral.
GUUGCCUUGUUCUUCAGGUUCUUCAUUGGCUUCUUCAGGUGGAGUGAAAUUGAGGUCUAGAACUACCAUGAUGUCAAUUGAGCCAACGAUUUGUUACUGUUGUUGUCGAGGAUCUGCUGUUGUUGCUUUUAUUGAGGGCUAAUGAUCUGUUCUUAUUGGUUUUGUUGAUGAUAUGUUGUUAUUGCUUCUGUUGAUGAUCAACUGCUGUUGAGACCGGGAGCUACAGUUGAGGAUGUACGGCUGUUGCCAGGGGAGAGCCUGGAGGAGCUCGCGCGUAAGAGGAGCUCCUGGCCUUCUCCUCUGGGCCUGGGCGAACUGGACCUUGCUGGCGACGCGGGGAAGAAGGGAGGCGGUACUGGGCAAGCUUGAUCUUGCCGGCAAGGUGCUCCUGGGAACGGCGGCCGACGGCCGGCGAGGUGCCCUCCUGGGAACAGGCGGCCGGCGAGGUGUCCUCCGUGGGAACGGCGGCCGGCGGCCGGCGAGGUGUCCUCCGUGGGAACGGCGGCCAGCAGGANNNNNNNNNNNNNNNNNNNNNNNNNNNNNNNNNNNNNNNNNNNNNNNNNNNNNNNNNNNNNNNNNNNNNNNNNNNNNNNNNNNNNNNNNNNNNNNNNNNNAACACUUUGUCAUGCAGUGUGCAUACCAGGCAGACCUGGAUCACAUCAUGGAACAUUUGAAGUUCCAACAGUAUGUUAGGUUUACCUUUACCAUGGUUGCCCGAUCUUACAACAGUGACUAUUAGAGGCACUUUAAAGCAUCUCUAGCAGACUAGCAAUACCCUAUAAAUAGAGAAAAAGACAUCAACCCCAUCAGUGACCCAUUUUGUUAUGACAUAUGGGACCCCGGCAGUCAUCAAUCUUAAUAGUUCUCGGAACAAACAGCAGUGUUAGUGUUAUAUCUCAUUUCUGUGUUUUUAAAUUGGGGACUUAGCUAGUUGGUAAGAAGUUAAUAUGUAUUGUAUUCACUGGAAUUCUGUAAAUCACAAGUAUGCAUUAGAUACUUGUUUUGUCAAUCUGCAUAGACAACCAAUCCGUCUAAUGAAAAGGACAACAAAAAAUACGAGAAAAUUCACCUCACGUGUAUUUGGCACACCAAUGCUAAUAAGCUUGCAACGGCUUGUAAUNNNNNNNNNNNNNNNNNNNNNNNNNNNNNNNNNNNNNNNNNNNNNNNNNNNNNNNNNNNNNNNNNNNNNNNNNNNNNNNNNNNNNNNNNNNNNNNNNNNNCAACGUAUCUAUAAUUUUUAUGGUUCCAUGCUAUUAUCUUGUCAACUUUGGAUGUUUUAUAUGCAUGAAUAUGCUAUUUUAUAUCUUUUUUGGGACUAACCUAUUAACUCAGUGCCAAGUGACAGUUUCUGUUUUUUCCGUGUUUUUGGCCCAUUUUCACACGGAGUCCAAAUGGAAUGAAACUUUACGAUGAUUUUUUUUUUGGACCAAAAGAGACCCCCGAAGCUUUGGGAGAAGACCAGAUGGGCCACGAGGGAGUCACAAGCCCUCACGACGCCACCCACCCCCCCCCCCCCUCGGUGGUGGCGCGCAGGCUUGUGACCUCCUCGUGGGCCCAACUGACGCAAUUCCCACCGCCAUAAAUUCCUAUAAAUUCACAAACCCUCAGAAAGAAACCUAGAUCGGGAGUUCCGCCGCCGCAAGCCUCUGUAGCCACCCAAAAACCAACUCUAGACGCCCACUUCCGGCACCCUGCCGGAGGAGGAAUCCAUCCUCCGGUGGCCAUCUUCCAUCAUCCCCGGCGAUCCUCCAUGANNNNNNNNNNNNNNNNNNNNNNNNNNNNNNNNNNNNNNNNNNNNNNNNNNNNNNNNNNNNNNNNNNNNNNNNNNNNNNNNNNNNNNNNNNNNNNNNNNNNUCAGAUAGACACGUGCAAGACAUACAUCAAGUGUUCUCAAAGACUCAAUCCGAUAAGAUAACUCCAAAGGGGAAACUCAAUUCAUUACAAGAAGGAGAGGGGGAAGAACANNNNNNNNNNACAGAUAGACACGUGCAAUACAUACAUCAAGUGUUCUCAAAGACUCAAUCCGAUAAGAUAAAUCCAAAGGGGAAACUCAAUUCAUUACAAGAAGGAGAGGGGGAAGAACAUCAUAAGAUCCAACUAUAGUAGCAAAGCCCAUGGUACAUCGAGAUCAAGACAUCUCAAGAACACGAGAGAGAGAGAUCAAACACAUAGCUAUUCGUACAUACCCUCAGCCCCGAGGGAGAACUACUCCCUCCUCGUCAUGGAGAUCGCCGGGAUGAUGAAGAUGGCCACCGGAGAUGGAUUCCCCCUCUGGCAGGGUGCCGGAACGGGCUCCAGAUUGGUUUUUGGUGGCUACAGAGGCUUGCGGCGGCGGAACUCCCGAUCUAGGUUUCUUUCUAGGUUUUUUUGAAUUUAUAGGAAUUUAUGGUAGUGGAAUUGCGUCAGUUGGGCCCACGAGGAGGUCACAAGCAUGCGCGCCACCACCGGGUGGGGGGGGGGGNNNNNNNNNNNNNNNNNNNNNNNNNNNNNNNNNNNNNNNNNNNNNNNNNNNNNNNNNNNNNNNNNNNNNNNNNNNNNNNNNNNNNNNNNNNNNNNNNNNNCGAAAGACAUUGAAAAGAUGGAGCAUAUGAGGCAUCCUAAUUUUUUUUGUAGUUUUCUAGCGAAAGAACAAGAAACAAAAAGAUUCGAUUGCAAGAUCUAAAGAUAUACCUUCAAGCGCUAACCUCCAGAAAAAUGCUUCGUUGACGGGAGGUGAGUGCCGCUUACCUAGCCUCCCCGGCAACGGCGCCAGAAAAAUGCUUGAUGUCUACUACGCAACCUUCUCCUUGUAGACGUUGUUGGGCCUNNNNNNNNNNCCGGCAACGGCGCCAGAAAAGAGCUUCGUUGACGGGAUGUUAGUGCUGCUUUCCUAGCCUCCCCGGCAACGGCGCCAGAAAAGAGCUUGAUGUCUACUACGCAACCUUCUCCUUGUAGACGUUGUUGGGCCUCCAAGUGCAGAGGUUUGUAGGACAGUAGCAAUUUUCCCUCAAGUGGGUGACCUAAGGUUUAUCAAUCCGCAGGAGGCGUAGGAUGAAGAUGGUCUCUCUCAAUCAACCCUGCAACCAAAUAACAAAGAGUCUCUUGUGUCCCCAACACACCCAAUACAAUGGUAAGUUGUAUAGGUGCACUAGUUCAGCGAAGAGAUGAUGAAACAAGUGCAAUAAGGAUGGUAGAUAUACGUUUUUGUAAUCUGAAAUUACAAAAAUAGCAAGGUAACUAGUAACAAAAGGGAGCACGAACGGUAUUGCAAUGCGUGGAAACAAGGCCUAGGGUUCAUACUUUCACUAGUGAAGUUCUCUCAACAAAGAUAACAUAAUUGGAUCAUAUAACAAGCCCUGAACAUUCAACAAAGAGUCACUCCAAAGUCACUAAAACGGAGAACAAACAAAGAGAUUAUUGUCGGGUACGAAACCACCAUAAAGUUAUUCUUUAUGAUCGAUCUAUUCAAGAGUUCGUACUAGCAUAACACCUUAAGAUACAUAUCAACCAAGACCCUAAUGUCACCUAGAUACUCCAUUGUCACCUCAANNNNNNNNNNAACAUGCAACAAAGAGUCACUCCAAACUCACUAAUAGCGGGGAAAAACGAAGAGAUUAUUGUCGGGUACGAAACCACCACAAAGUUAUUCUUUCUGAUCGAUCUAUUCAAGAGUCUGUAGUAAAAUAACACGAAGCUAUUCUUUUCGUUCAAUCUUUCAUAGAGUUCGUACUAGAAUAACACCUUAAGAUACUUAUCAACCAAGACCCUAAUGUCACCUAGAUACUCCAUUGUCACCUCAAGUAUCCCUGGGUAUGAUUAUACGAUAUGCAUCACACAAUCUCAGAAUCAUCUAUUCAACCAACACAUAGAACUUGAAAGAGUGCCCCAAAGUUUCUACCACAGAGUCAAAACAUGUGCCAACCGCUGUGCAUAGGUUCCCAAUGUCACGAACCCGCAAGUUGAUCACCAAAACAUACAUCAAGUACUCACAUGAAUCCACAUGUGCCAACCCAUAUGCAUAGGUUCCCAAUUGUCACAAACCCGCAAGUUGAUCACANNNNNNNNNNGACUUCAAAGAGUGCCCCGAAGUUUCUACCGGAGAGUCAAAACGUGUGCCAACCCCUAUGCAUAGGUUCCCAAUGUCACGAACCGCAAGUUGAUCACCAAAACAUACAUCGAGUACUCACAUGAAUCCACGUGUGCCAACCCAUAUGCAUAAGUUCCCAAUUGUCACAAACCCGCAAGUUGCUCACAACAGAUAGACACGUGCAAGACAUACAUCAACUAUUCUUAAAGACUAAUUCUGAUAAGAUAACUUCAAAGGGGAAAUUCAAUUCAUUACAAGAAGGGAGAGGGGGAAGAACAUCAUAAGAUCCAACUAUAGUAGCAAAGCCCACGGUACAUCGAUAUCAAGACAUCUCAAGAACACAAGAGAGAGAGAUCAAACACAUAGCUACUGGUACAUACCCUCAACCCCGAGGGAGAACUACUCCCUCCUCGUCAUGGAGAUCGUCGGGAUGAUGAAGAUGGCCACCGGAGAUGGAUUCCCCCUCCGGCAGGGUGCCGGAACGGGCUCCAGAUUGGUUUUUGGUGGCUACAGAGGCUUGCGGCGGCGGAACUCCCGAUCUAGGUUUCUUUGUGGGGGUUUGUUGUCACAUCCCUAACCCUUAAGAAAGAUAGCAUUGUGCUCAUGUCUUCUUUGCAUUUGCAUCNNNNNNNNNNNNNNNNNNNNNNNNNNNNNNNNNNNNNNNNNNNNNNNNNNNNNNNNNNNNNNNNNNNNNNNNNNNNNNNNNNNNNNNNNNNNNNNNNNNNACUUAUAUCUUUUGAGUUAGGCAAUUUAGCUCGCAUGUGCCUCAUUUAUAUCUUUUGAGCUAGAUAACUUUGCUCUAGUGCUUCACUUAGAUGUUUUUAGAGCACGGCGGUGUCAUAUUUUGAAGAAAUAAAAACUCUCGAUCUUCACUUAUAUCUUUUUGAGAGUUCUCUCUCUAAAGUAACUUGGUAAUUGGCUUGUGCUAGGAAAGUAGUCCUAAAGAUGAUAGGCAUCCAAAGAGGAUAUAAUAAAAACUUCCAUAUUCAAGUGCAUUGAUUAGUAAGAGAAGUUUGAUUCCUAACAAUUAGUUUUGAUAUAUGGAUUUGGUAAUAUUAGAGUUAUGUUAGUAGGGUGUUGUGAAUCUAGAAAUACUUGUGUUGAAGUUAGUGAUUCCCGUAGCAUGCACGUAUGGUGAACCGCUAUGCUAGGAAGUCGGAGCAUAAUUGAUUUAUUCAUUGUCAUCCUUUGUGUGGCGGCCGGGAUCGCGCGAUGGUUAACACCUACCAACCCUUCCCCUAGGAGUAUGAGUUUAGCACUUUGUUUCGAUUACUAAUAAAAACUUUCGCAAUAAGUACAUGAGUUCUUCAUGACUAAUGUGAGUCCAUGGUAUAGAUGCACUUUCACCUUCCACCACUGCUAGCCUCUCUAGUUCCGCCCAACUUUCGCCGGUGCACAAACUCACCAUAUACCUUCCUCAAAACAGCCACCAUACCUACCUCUUAUGGCAUUUUCGUAGCCAUUCCGAGAUAUAUUGCCAUGCAACUCCCACCGUUCCGUCUCAUGACCUGUGCCGUCACUUACAUAUUGCCAUUGCAUGAUCGUAAGAUAGCUAGCGAGAUGUUUCAACAUCAUAUGCCAAGCUAGAUCGUUGCACAUCCCGGUACACUGCCGGAGGCAUUUCCUAUAGAGUCAUCANNNNNNNNNNUGUUCUAAGAAUUGAGUUGUGAGUAAAUAAAAGUGUGAUGAUCAUCAUUAUUAGAGCAUUGUCCCAUGUGAGGAAAAAAGAGAGGCCAAAGAUGCCCACCAAAAAAUAUAUAUGAAAAGAGGCCAAAGAACCCAAACAAACAAAAAAAGGAGAGAAAAGAGAGAAGGGACAAUGCUAAUAUCUUUUUCCACACUUGUGCUUCAAAAUAGCACCAUGUUCUUCAUGAUAGAGAGUCUCUUGUUUUGACACUUCCAUAUACUAGUGGGAAUAUUCAUUAUAUAACUUUGCUUGUAUAUUCCAAUGACGGGCUUCCUCAAAAUUUCCCUAGGUUUUAGUGAGCAAGAAAGUUGGGUGCACACCCACUAGUUCUCCUUUUGAGCUUUCACGCACUUAUAGCUCUAAGUGCAUUCGUUGCAUGGUAAUCCCUACUCAUUCACAUUGAUAUCUAUUGAUGGGCAUCUCCAUAGCCUGUUGAUACGCCGAGUCGAUGUGACCAUCUCCUUCUUUUUGCCUCACAACCUCCACCACACUCUAUUCCACCUAUAGUGCUAUAUCCAUGGCUCACGCUCAUGUAUUGCGUGAGAGUUGAAACAGUUUGAGAAAGUAAGAGUGCGAAAACAAUUACUUGGCCAAUACCGGGGUUGUGCAUGAUUUCCAUUCGUUGUGUGGGGAUGAUGGAGCAUAGCGAGACUAUAUGAUUUUGUAGGGAUAACUUUCUUUGGCCUUGUUGUUUCAAAAUUCAUGAUUACUUUGCUAGUAUGCUUGAAGUAUUAUUGUUUUCAUGUCAAUAGUAAACUAUUGUUUUGAAUCUUACGGAUCUGAACAUUCAUGUCACAAGAAAGAAGUUACAAAGGACAAAUAUGUUAGGUAGCACUCCACAUCAAAAUUCAUUCUUUAUCACUUACCUACUCGAGGACGAUCAUGAGUUAAGCUUGGGGAUGCUUGAUACGUCUCCAACGUAUCUAUAAUUUNNNNNNNNNNNNNNNNNNNNNNNNNNNNNNNNNNNNNNNNNNNNNNNNNNNNNNNNNNNNNNNNNNNNNNNNNNNNNNNNNNNNNNNNNNNNNNNNNNNNUACUAGCUAUGGACCCGUAGGUCUAUGGUGAACUACUCACGCAUCAUCAGAGAGGUCAUGGUGUUGAUGAAGAAGCCCUCCGUAUCCGAAUCCCCCCUCCGACAGGGCACCAGAACGUGCCCCAGAUGGGAUCUUGCGGAGACAGAAGCUUGCAGCGGCGGAAAAGUAUUUUCGUGCCUCUCCUAAUUUUUUCUGGGAUUUUAGGGAAUAUAUAGGCGAAAGACCUAGGGCAGAGGAGGCCCAGGGAGCCCACAAGCCUAGGAGGCGCGGGCCCCCUGGCCGAGGCUAGGGGGAUUGUGGGGUCCUUGUUGACACUCUGCCUUGGUUCUCAAGUCUCCCGAUCGUUUUGUGUUUCAAAAAAAAUAUUUUUGGAAGUUUCAUUCCGUUUGGACUCCGUUUAAAAUCCUCCUCUGAAAAGGGUCAAAAACACGGAAAAAACACGAACCGACACUUGGCACUGAGUUAGUAAGUUAGUCCCAAAAAAUAUAUAAAAGGCAUACAAAACAUCCAAAGUUUGACAAGAUAAUAGCAUGAAACCAUAAAAAAUUAUAGAUACGUUGGAGACGUAUCAAGCAUCCCCAAGCUUAACUCCUGCUCGUCCUCGAGCAGGGAAGUGAUAAAGACUGAAUUUUUGAUGUGGAAUGCUACCUAGCAUAGUUGUCCUUUGUAACUUCUUUCAUGUGACAUGAAUGUUCAGAUCCGUAAGAUUCAAAACAAUAGUUUGCUAUUGACAUGAAAACAAUAAUACUUCAAGAAAACUAGCAAGGUAAUCAUGAACUUUUGAAAUAACAAGGGCAAAGAAAGUUAUCCCUACAAAAUCAUAUAGUCUGGCUAUGCUCCAUCAUCCCCACACAACUAAUGUAAAUCAUGCACAACCCCGCUAUUGGCCAAGUAAUUGUUUUCGCACUCUAAUUUUCUCAAACCUUUUUCAACUAUCACGCAAUACAUGAGCGUGAGCCAUGGAUAUAGCACUAUAGGUGGAAUAGAGUGUGGUGGUGGUUGUGAGACAAAAAAGAGGAGAUGGUCACAUUGACUCGGCAUAUCAAAGGGUUAUGGAGAUGCCCAUUAAUAGAUAUCAAUGUGAAUGAGUAGGGAUUGCCAUACAAAGGAUGCACUAGAGCUAUAAGUAUGUGAAAGCUCAAAAGGAGAACUAGUGGGUGUGCAUCCAACUUGCUUGCUCACGAAGACCUAGGGAAAUUUUGAGGAAGCCCAUCAUUGGAAUAUACAAGCAAAGUUAUAUAAUGAAUAUUCCCACUAGCAUAUGGUAGUGACGAAAUGAGAGGCUCUCAAACAUGAAGAACAUNNNNNNNNNNGCCCAUCAUUGGAAUAUACAAGCCAAGUUAUAUAAUAAAGAUCCCCACUGGCAUUUGGUGGUGACGAAAAAGAUAGUAGCAUUGUCCCUUCUCUCUUUUUCUCUCUCUUUUUUUUGUUUGGGCUCUUUGGCCUCUUUUCAUAUAUUUUUGGUGGGCAUCUUUGGCCUCUUUUUUUAUUUCCUCACAUGGGACAAUGCUCUAAUAAUGAUGAUCAUCACACUUUUAUUUACUCACAACUCAAAGCUUAGAACGAUGAUGACUCUAUAGGAAAUGCCUCCGGCAGUGUACCGGGAUGUGCAANNNNNNNNNNUAUCUAGCUUGGCGUAUGACGUUGAAACAUCUCGCUAGCUAUCUUACGAUCAUGCAAUGGCAACAUGAGAGUGACGGCACAAGUCAUGAGACAGAACGGUGGGAGUUGUAUGGCAAUAUACCUCGGAAUGGCUAUGAAAAUGCCAUAGUAGGUAGGUAUGGUGGCUGUUUUGAAGAAGGCAUAUGGUGGGUUUGUGUACCGACGAGAAUUGCGCGGUACUAGAGAGUCUAGCAAUGGUGGAAGGUGAAAGUGCAUCUAUACCAUGGACUCACAUUAGUCAUGAAGAACUCACAUACUUAUUGCGAAAGUUUUUAUUAGUAAUCAAAACAAAGUGCUAAACGCAUACUCCUAGGGGAAGGGUUGGUAGGUGUAAACCAUCGCGCGAUCCCGACCUCAACACAAAGGAUGACAAUCAAUAGAUCAAUUAUGCUCCGACUUCCUAACACGGCGGUUCACCAUACGUGCAUGUUACGGGAAUCACUAACUUCAACACAAGUAUUUCUAGAUUCACAACACCCUACUAACAUAACUCUUAAUAUUACCAAAUCCACGUCUCAAAACUAAUUGAGAGGAAUCAAAACUUCUCUUUCUGCUCAAUGCACAUGAAGAUGGAGGUUUUUGUAUCCUCUUUUGGUACCUAGCACCUUUGGGAUUACUUUCAUAGCACAAGCCAACUACCAAGUCACGCACCGCCGUGCUCUAAAAGAUCUAAGUGAAGCACAUAGAGCAAAAUUAUCUAGCUCAAAAGAUAUAAGUGNNNNNNNNNNUGCAAAAUAUGACAUCGCCGUGCUCUAAAAGAUCUAAGUGAAGCACUUAGAGCAAAGUUAUCUAGCUCAAAAGAUAUAAGUGAAGCACAUGUGAGCUAAAUUUCCUAACUCAAAAGAUAUAAGCGAAGCUCAAUGAGUAUUCUAGCAAAUUCACAAUGAGUGCAUGUCUCUCNNNNNNNNNNAAGCACGUUGAGCAUUCUAGCAAAAUCACGAUGAGUGCGUGUCUCUCUCAAAAGGUGUGCAGAAAGGAUGAUUGUGACACAACAAAAAUAAAAGACUCCUACGAUACAAGAUGCAAGCAAAACACAUAUCAUGUGGUGAAUAAAAAUAUAGCUCCAAGUAANNNNNNNNNNNNNNNNNNNNNNNNNNNNNNNNNNNNNNNNNNNNNNNNNNNNNNNNNNNNNNNNNNNNNNNNNNNNNNNNNNNNNNNNNNNNNNNNNNNNCCAUAUUGAUCUUGGGAGGAGCACGUCUAACUUUCAAAGCAUCAAUAUCAAUAGACAUUCUAUCAAUGCUCCUAGCCAAAUCAUCAAUUUUGAGUAGUUUUUCCUNNNNNNNNNNGUGAAACAAGUGCAAUAUGGAUGAUAGAUAUAGGUUUUUGUAAUCUGAAAUUACAAAAACAGCAAGGUAACAAAUGGUAAAAGUGAGCACGAAUGAUAUUGCAAUGCGUCGAAACAAGGCCUAGGGUUCAUACUUUCACUAGUGAAGUUCUCUCAACAAUGAUAACAUAAUUGGAUCAUGUAACUAGCCCUCGACAUGCAACAAAGAGUCACUCCAAAGUCACUAAUAGCGGGGAACAAACAAAGAGAUUAUUGUCGGGUACGAAACCACCACAAAGUUAUUCUUUCUAAUCGAUCUAUUCAAGAGUCCGUAGUAAAAUAACACGAAGCUAUUCUUUCCGUUCAAUCUUUCAUAGAGUUCGUACUAGAAUAACACCUUAAGAUACUUAUCAACCAAGACCCUAAUGUCACCUAGAUACUCCAUUGUCACCUCAANNNNNNNNNNNNNNNNNNNNNNNNNNNNNNNNNNNNNNNNNNNNNNNNNNNNNNNNNNNNNNNNNNNNNNNNNNNNNNNNNNNNNNNNNNNNNNNNNNNNAAAAUGUAGGAUCCAAUAUGGGCAUCCAGGUCCCGCUAUUGGAUAUUGACCGAGGAGUGUCUCGGGUCAUGUCUACAUAGUUCUCGAACCCGCAGGGUCUGCACACUUAAGGUUUGGUGACGUUUCGGUAUAGUUGAGUUAUAGGUGUUGGUACCCGAAAAUUGUUCGGAGUCCCAUAUGAGACCCAGGACGUCACGAGGAGCUCCGAAAUGGUCCGAAGGUAAAGAUUGAUAUAUAGGAAGUCCUGUUGUGGUCACCGGAAAAGUUUCGGGCUCAUCGGUAGUGUAUCGCGAGUGCUGGGAGGGGUGCUAGGGACCAUCGGGAGGGGUGUCACGCCCAAGGGAUCGCAUGGGCUAUGGGAAGAUAUAAACCAGCCCCUAGUGGGGUGGAAUAAGGUCCCACUAAGGCCCAUAAGGUUUGAGAAGGAAAAAACACAAGGUGGAAAGAGUUUCCAAGUGGGAAGGUGGAAUUCUACUCCAAGUAGGAUUGGAGUAGGACUCCUCCACCUCCAAUUUCGGCCAAACCUUGAGGGUUUGAGGCUGCCUCCUCCCCUCCCUCCCUCCUAUAUAUACUAGAGGUAUUGGGGGUUUUUGAGACACAACUUUGCCACGUGUUGCUCGACCCUAUACCAUGCAGUUUUUCCUCUAGAUCGUAUUUCUGCGGAGCUUAGGCGAAGCCCUGCCGGAGUAGAUCAUCACCACCACCGGCGCGCCAUCACGCUGCCGGAGAACUCUUCUACCUCUCUGCCCCCUCUUUCUGGAUCAAGAAGGUAGAGAUCGUCAUCGAGUUGUACGUGUGCUGAACGCGGAGGUGCCGUCCGUUCGGCACUAGAUCGGAACGGAUCGUGAGACGGGUCGCAAGACGGUUCGUGCGACGGAUCGCCAGACGGUUCGUGGGAUGGAUCGCAGGACGGUUCGUGGGACGGAUCGCGGGACGGUUCAUGGGACGGUUCGUGGGGCUGAUCGAGGGACGUGAAGACGUUCCACUACAUGAACCGCGUUCCUUAAACGCUUCCUGCUGUGCGAUCUACAAGGGUAUGUAGAUCCAAAACUCUUCUUGUAGAUGGACAUCACCAUGAUAGGUCUUCGUGUGCGUAGGAAAUUUUUUGGUUCCCAUGCAACGUUCCCCAUCUAAGCCCAAUGUGAGGAGUUGGCUGAUGAACUUGUUGGAGGGGUCCAUUUCUUCUUGGGCAGAUCCAUGCAACCAGUUUUUUGUCGCGUAGCAUGCGGGUCACAAACUCCAAGGGCAACCGAGUGACCUGCAUGUUCUUCCCCACAGAGAUGGUGAAUCCUUAUGCAAGUACAUCCAAAGAUUUAGCCGUGUACAACACAACAUCCCUAACAUCCAUCCUGCUUGCGGUGAUUGUCGCGUUUCAUAUGAAUGUGCGCAACGGGCGAAUGCGCAAGGAGAUGAGUAUCAACAAGGUGUGGGAUGUCUCCAAGCUCUAUGCCCUGGCUGAAAAAUGUGCGUGUGCUGAAGAAGGAAGAAGGCUCCCAGGAGAGGAUGAUGGUUGAUACGUCUCCAACGUAUCUAUAAUUUUUUAUGGUUCCAUGCUAUUAUCUUGUCAACUUUGGAUAUUUUAUAUGCAUGAAUAUGCUAUUUUAUAUAUUUUUUGGGACUAACCUAUUAACUCAAUGCCAAGUGCCAGUUUCUGUCUUUUCCGUGUUUUUGACCCUUUUUCAGACGGAGUCCAAAUGGAAUGAAACUUUACGAUGAUUUUUUUUGACCAAAAGAGACCCCCGAAGCUUUGGAAGAAGGCUAGAAGAGCCACGAGGGAGUCACGAACCUAUGGGGCGCGGCCUACCCCCCUGGUCGCACCGUGCGGGCUUGUGACCUCCUUGUGGGCCCAACUGACGCAAUUCCACCGCCAUAAAUUCCUAUAAAUUCAGAAACCCCCAGAAAGAAACCUAGAUCGGGAGUUCCGCCGCCGCAAGCCUCUGUAGCCACCAAAAACCAAUCGGGAGCCCGUUCCAGCACCCUACCGGAGGGGGAAUCCAUCUCCGGUGGCCAUCUUCAUCAUCCCGGCGAUCUCCAUGACGAGGAGGGAGUAGUUCUCCCUCGGGGCUGAGGGUAUGUACCAGUAGCUAUGUGUUUGAUCUCUCUCUCUCGUGUUCUUGAGAUGUCUUGAUCUCGAUGUACCGUGGGCUUUGCUACUAUAGUUGGAUCUUAUGAUGUUCUUCCCUCUAUCCCUUCUUGUAAUGAAUUGAGUUUCCCCUUUGAAGUUAUCUUAUCGGAUUGAGUCUUUGAGAACACUUGAUGUAUGUCUUGCACGUGUCUAUCUGUUGUGAUCAACUUGCGGGUUUGUGACAAUUGGGAACCUAUGCAUAUGGGUUGGCACACGUGGAUUCAUGUGAGUACUCGAUGUGUGUUUUGGUGAUCAACUUGCGGGUUCGUGACAUUGGGAACCUAUGCAUAGGGGUUGGCUCGCGUUUUGACUCUCCGAUAGAAACUUCGGGGCACUCUUUGAAGUCUUAUGUGUUGGUUGAAUAGAUGAUUCUGAGAUUGUGUCAUGCAUAUCGUAUAAUCAUGCCCACGGAUACUUGAGGUGACAAUGGAGUAUCUAGGUGACAUUAGGGUGUUGGUUGAUAUGUAUCUUAAGGUGUUAUUCUAGUACGAACUCUUGAAUAGAUCGAUCAGAAAGAAUAACUUUAUGGUGGUUCCGUACCCGACAAUAAUCUCUUCCUUUGUUCUCCACUAUUAGUGACUUUGGAGUGACUCUUUGUUGCAUGUUGAGGGCUAGUUAUAUGAUCCAAUUACGUUAUCUUUGUUUAGAGAACUUCACUAGUGAAAGUAUGAACCCUAGGCCUUGUUUCCAAGCAUUGCAAUACCGUUCGUGCUCACUUUUGUUACUAUUACCUUGCUAUUUUUGUAAUUUCAGAUUACAAAAUGGUAUAUGUACCAUCCUUAUUGCACUUGUUUCACCAUCUCUUCGCCGAACUAGUGCACCUAUACAACUUACCAUUGUAUUGGGUGUGUUGGGGACACAACAGACUCUUUGUUAUUUGGUUGCAGGGUUGCUUGAGAGAGACCAUCUUCAUCCUACGCCUCCCGCGGAUUGAUAAACCUUAGGUCACCCACUUGAGGGAAAAUUGCUACUGCCCUACAAACCUCUGCACUUGGAGGCCCAACAACGUCUACAAGGAGAAGGUUGCGUAGUAGACAUCAAGCAUUUUUCUGGCGCCGUUGCCGGGGAGGCUAGGUAAGCGGCACUCACCUCCCGUCAACGAAGCAUUUUUCUGGAGGUUAGCGCUUGAAGGUAUAUCUUUAGAUCUUGCAAUCGAAUCUUUUUGUUUCUUGUUCUUUCGCUAGAAAACUACAAAAAAAAUUAGGAUGCCUCAUAUGCUCCAUCUUUUCAAUGUCUUUCGUGAGCAUGAUGGGAAGGAAAAUUGUGCUCAAGUGCUGAAAGAAGAAUUACAUAGAAUGUUUGGCAUAGAAUAUGUGAAUGAUGAGCAUGAUUGCAAUAUUGUUAGCAUGAAUUCUAUGAAUACCCAUGAUGCUAAAGAUAUGCAAAGCCACAAGCUUGGGGAUGCUAUAUUUGAUGAAGAUGAUCUUUUUAGUUCUUCCACUUUGAAUGAUCAAAAUUAUUUUGAUGAAAGCAUGCCCCCUAUCUAUGAUGAUUAUUGUGAGGAUACUUAUGCUUUGAAGAAGAGGGAUGAUAAAACUUGUCAUACUUUCGAAAACCCCUUUGCUAAACCUUGCUUUUUCAUCGUGGACACAAUUUGUAGUGCUCAAGUCUUUUACAAUACUCCCACUACUAUUCUUGAGAAUAGAUUUCCUUAUGUGGAGAGUAGUAAAAUUCCUAUGCUUGUAGAUCAUGAAAAUAAAGCCUUAGGUGUUGGUUAUAUUGUUGAAUUCAUUCAUGAUGCUACUGAAAAUUACUAUGAGAGAGGAUCAUAUGCUUCUACUUAUUGCAAUAGUAUCAAGCUUCAUCUCCAUGUGUUGAAAUAUUUGAAGCUAUGCUUGUUUUGCCUUCCUAUGCUAGUUGAUUCAUGAUCCAACAAGUUGUUUGUUCACAAAAUCCCUAUGCAUAGGAAGUGGGUUAGACUUAAAUGUGCUAGCCAUAUGCUCCAUGAUGCUCUCGUUGCGCUUCAAUCCUUAUCUUUUAUGUGAGCAUCAUUGAAAUCAAUGGCUAGCUAAGGGCGUUAAACAAUAGUGCUUGUUGGGAGGCAACCCAAUGAAUUUAUUUUUGCUUUUUGCUUUUUGUUUUGCUUUUUCCACACCAUCAUAAUUCUGUUAUGAUUGUGUUUUUUGUGUUUUAAUUAGUGUUUAUGCCAAGUAAAGCCUUUAUGAUAGCUUGAGUGAUAGUUGUUUGAUCAUGCUGGAAAAAGACAGAAACUUUCUGCUUACGAAAUUAUUUUUAAUUUCUAUCCAGAAAGAGAUUUUGAGUUGAUUGUUUUUCCUGCUGAUUUAUAUGAAAAUUGCCCUAAUUUUCAUAAUGUUUCAGAAUUUUGGGAGGUGCAGAAGUAUGGUGAUCAUUCAGAUCAUUACAGACUGUUCUGUUUUUGACAGAUUCUGUUUUCAAUGCAUAGUUUGCUUGUUUUGGUGUUUCCAUAGAUUAUUUUGAAUAAUAUAAAUUGUGGAAAUAGUAAUAUACAGUAGGCAUUGUAUGAAAAUAGUUAUGAGUCUUGUUUUAACAGUGUCCAAGUGAUUGAUUUUCUCGUUAUCAUACUAACCCAUCUCACGAAGUUCCGUUAAGUUUUGUGUUGUGAAGUUUUCAAGUUUUGGGUAGAGUUUCGAUGGACUAUGGAACAAGGAGUGCCAAGAGCCUAAGUUUGGGGAUGCCCAAGGCAUCCCAAGCCAUAUUCAAGGAUACCAAAAGCCCUAAGCUUGGGGAUGCCCCGGGAAGGCAUCCCCUCUUUCGUCUUAAAUCUAUCGGUAACAUUACUUGGAGCUAUAUUUUUAAUCACCACAUGAUAUGUGUUUUGCUUGGAGCAUCUUGUAUCUUAGGAGUCUUUUCUUUUUGUUGUGUCACAAUAAUCCUUGUUGCACACCUUUUUGAGAGAUAGAGACAUGCACUCAUUGUGAUUUUGCUAGAAUGCUCAUAGUGCUUCAUUUAUAUCUUUUGAGCUAGAUACUUUUGCUCUUGUGCUUCACUUAUAUCUUUUGAGCUAGAUACUUUUGCUCUUGUGCUUCACUUAUAUCUUUAGAGCACGGCGGUGCAUGAUUUGGUAGUUGGCUUAUGCUAUGAAAGUAGUCCCAAAUGUGAUAGGUACCCACAGAGGAUACAAAAACCUCCAUCUUCAUGUGCAUUGAAUAGAAAGAGAAGUUUUGAUUCCUCUCAAUUAGUUUUGAGACGUGGAUUCGGUAGUAUUAAGAGUUAUGUUAGUAGGGUGUUGUGAAUCUAGAAAUACUUGUGUUGAAGUUGGUGAUUCCCUGUCGGGACCCCGAUCCUAAGCCAUAGGAAUCUAGCCUGUAACACAUCGCAUCCCUUUGUGGUCUCACGCACAGUUAACUCCACGGCUGCAGCCUUACCUUAGCCGGGACCGUUUGCGUCUUUUGACUCACGUAUGUGAUAGUGUCGCUAGCAAUCCAAUGUCAAAGAACCCGGAUCGACAUGUCUAGUCAUAAACCAAAGUGGCAGCACCGCACAAGGACAGGCAUACAUGACCCAACAAAGCAGGUGUCGGUCAUCAGCGAAUGUAGACGAGUCGUAGCAAGCUACAAGGACUCCAUUACAUCGCGUGACAUUUCCCCAAAGGGGACAGACACAGCAGCUAAGAAGGACACAUGCCGGUCAACCAAUGUGUCCGGAGCAGUAGCGAACUACCAAGGCUCGUUGGAUCACAAAGGGGCAUUUCCUUGUAAGGAGUGCUACUAAAGUUCACGACUAGGUAUUCGAACCCCAUACAUAUCAAGUACGACACCCGUAUGCAUGACAUACCGAUAUGUAUAGAUACAUCGAUGGCAUCACAACAUAACCAUAAACAUACAACCUUUAUUUAAGAGGCUCGGAAGAGCCACACACAUAAUAUUACACAUUAAGGGUCUCAUGACCCAUAAUAACAGUCAUACAAAUACAAGCCAGCGGAAGAGUUUAAACUAUCUGAGUACAGACAGGGCAACUAGAAGGCACAUGGCCUGACUAUACUACAGAGCCGACGUAGGGCCAGAUCGUAGCUGGGACACCAGCUACUCGUCGUCGUCGAUGUCUACGAAGAACCCUCCAUUAGGGUCAUUAGCAACCUCUGCAACAUUUAUUAAGCAAACAUGAGUACGAAGGUACUCAGCAAGACUUUAGGAGAACUAACUACUCAUGCAAGGUAUCAAAAGGUAUUGUGGGGUUUCAUGCGGAAAGCCAGCAUUUGACUCGUGGCUAGACAACUUGCAUUUUGAAAUUAGUUUUGACAACUUGAUUUCUCGCACACGAGUCCACUAACACCACAACAAUACACUAUCGUGGAAUCAUUCCGUCUCCAUACGGAAAUGCCGUCCACGACACUCACGCUUAUCUUGACAAUUUUAUGAGUAGCCAUUGAAGUUAUCUAUGAACAACAUAUGUCUCCAAGUAGUCCAUAUCCGCGGACGCGGCUAUUCGAAUAGAUCUUAACCCUGCAGGGGUGUACGUCGUCACACACGCUCUCGCCACUUAUCGCUAUGUGCACGUCAUGCACCUCGGCAACCUUCAAGCGGAAGCCUAGCGAGGGAGUCGGCCACGACCGUUAACCACACUAGUACCUAGUCCAGGUUUAAUUGCCUAUCUGAGAGUAACCCGUAAGGCAGUCCGGCCGAGGUUUCCACCACGGCCUCAAACGAUGUGCGCAGGGUUCCCAAGCCCACCAUCCGGGUGCCACUUGGUACACCGUGCCACUGCCUACCGCAUCACGGUCCACCUCUCAGGUCAGCACCAUGCACGGCCUCCAGCAUUACUAUAAACACCAGAAACUACUUGCAACUCCUGGACCGAGUACUAAGCGAUUAAUAGGCCGAGCGGGGUCAUAUUUCAGGGCCCAGCAUGUGGUAGUAUCUAGUCUUGGAUUACAUACACGGAACUCAGUUCCUAAGGACGGUUCCAAUGAAACAACCCGCCAUGUACUCCUACACAGCCUUUCACCGGUACCUUUACCAAAACAAGUUCAACACACAACCUUUGCCUACCGAACACAUUCCACAUUUCUGUUCAUCUCCCAAAUGACAGACCAUACACAACCCUAAGCAUAGCAUGCAUAGCAGGAUAAGGCACAUCAUAGCUCAAGCAACUACCAGGUAUGCUAGGUUGCAAGGUUUGGCUAUUUACUGUGACAAGGUUAAGUCAUGCAAAGGAAGUGGAUUCAACUAUCGUGGCAAAAGCAGUUGAAGCAUUUGAUCUUAAAUGCAAUAAUUAGGUGCAGGAGCAAGAACAUGGGAGUUAUCGGAAUGAUCAAAGGGGUUGCUUGCCUUGUUGCUCAGAGGAGGAACGAUAUCCGUCAGACGGAUAUUCGGUGGAAUCCGGGGGUGCGGAGCCUACCGAAAUGAAUGGCAACAUUCAAUAACAAUCAUAUGCACUCAAAAUGAUGCAUGAGCAUGGCAUGAGAAUGCAAGGUGAUAAGUUAUUAUUUUCAACAUGUAUUAGGUUUAGAGUUGAUUUGAAUCACAUUCGAAUAGCAAUUCAAACGGGGUAUUCUCGGAUACCGGUUUAAUUGAUUCGACCUGAUGCUCAGAUCAACUUGAUGUUAACAUGCAUGAACUGUCAUGUUAUGGUACUGAAUUGUAAUUAGGACAGUGGUGAACAUUGUAAAUAUAAUGAAAUUUGAAUAUUUUUGCAAAUUCCAUUUAAAAGGUGAUUAUAAGAAUUGAAUUAUUCCUUAUUCCACAAUUUAGGGUUCUGUAACUUUUUUAAACAUGGUUGAAAAUAGCAUAAUCAGAAUCCUUGAAUUUUUCUGAUACUUUUUCAUAUAUAAAUUAUUUUCAUUGGAGUUACAGAUUAAUUUCUAUGAUUUUUACAAUUUUUAGCAAUUUCCUGAAUUAGUUUUAUACUGGAAAUUCUAUUUAUUGCAUCAGACUGGCGUCAGCAGGUCAGCCGACUUGUUCAGGUCAAACCUGAUAGGGGGGGCCCACUGGUCAGCCUCUCUGGGACUAAUCCCGCGCUGACCAGCCCUAACUGAGGUUUGACUUGGCCUUGGGCCCACUUGUCAGCGAGUGAUUAGGUGCUGAGCUGCUGGGUUAGCUUUGCCACGUCGACAUCCACCGGCGGCGAGGUCAUCCUCGCCGGAGGGGAGCCUCCGGCGACCACCAGCACGGCGGAGGGGCUCGGAAACGGCGCAGAGGGGGCCAAAUGCUGCGCGGAGAGCACCAGAGGAACGGCACGUCUCCCGCAGCUUCAUUUCUGCACCUAGCCGGGGCUGAUCUGGCCGGAGAUGACGCCGACGACGAGCUUGGCGGCGGCCAAGGCUCGGGCAUCAUCGGGGUCUUUGAAUCAGAGGGAUCUACGCUCGGUUCUUAGCUGCUACAGCAUCUACGCGUCGACCUGGAGCUGCUGGUGCCCUCGGAAGGACGAGCUGAUCAUCGGAGGGCUACCGGCGACGAGCGGCAACGGCGGUCCUCGUCGGGCUCCGGUGAAACUAGAGCUAGAGGAGGGGAUCGACGGGGAAAACUUAGGGGAAACGACCGCAUGCUCACGGGGAGUGCAGAGCAGAGCUUAGACGGCUCGGGGAAGGCCCGGGGGCGACGAAUCGAUGGGAGAGGUCCGGCGGCCGGAGGUGGAAGACGACGGCGUUGCGGGCGUUGCAGGGCUCGAGGAAGCUUCGGCUUCUGCAGAGAUGACCAGGGCGACGAGGCGGAGCUAAUGGCGUGCUCUGGGAGGGAAUCCUAUGGCUAGGGGCACGGGCAGCUCGAGCUCGAGCUCGGCUCUAAUGGCGACAGCAAGGAGGAGGAGGAGAUCCGGGAGGAGGAAGAGAACCGAGGCGGGGAAUGGAUAGGGGAGGCCUUGGGGAGCUUAUCCCCGUCGUCGCCAGCGCGAGGCGGCGGCCAGGCAGACACGCAGGUGCGUGGCCGCGCCGGAGGGGGCGGCGGCCACCUCCUGCUGCCUACUGGCGCGAGGGAGGGGACGAGCCAGGGAUGGGCCGGGCCAGGCUUAGGCGACAGGUAAGGUUUUCCCAUUUUUCUGUUUUUGUUUUUUCUCUUUUGCUAAUUAUUGUUUUGCUAAUUAAUUCAGCUCCAAAACAAAAAGUAAAAACUAUUUUAGACCUCCUGAAAUAUUUGUUAUAAUAUCCCCAACCAUUUCCAAGGUUUUCAACAUUUUUGGAAAUUUAUAGUUUCUGGUUUCAAAUUUAAAACUUGAAACCAGUAGCCUUUUUCAUUUAUUCAAAAAGGUUAAAGUGUCAAGAAAAUAGUUUUCUCCAAUGCUCAUUUACUUUCAAGAUUUAUCAGAAAGUUUGGACAUUUCUUGAGGCCAUUUUGGGUUCAUUGAUUUUGAACUAGUUUGAGAUUUCCUUUAAAUUGAAAUGGUGGCUAGGGUUUUGAGUUUUUCCUUUGCCACUUUGUUGUUUUUGUUCAAACUUCUUAGAUGCAAAUGCAAAGAAGACAUGAGCACAAUGCUAUCUUUCUUAAGGGUUAGGGAUGUGACAACAAACCCCCACAAAGAAACCUAGAUCGGGAGUUCCGCCGCCGCAAGCCUCUGUAGCCACCAAAAACCAAUCUGGAGCCCGUUCCGGCACCCUGCCGGAGGGGGAAUCCAUCUCCGGUGGCCAUCUUCAUCAUCCCGACGAUCUCCAUGACGAGGAGGGAGUAGUUCUCCCUCGGGGUUGAGGGUAUGUACCAGUAGCUAUGUGUUUGAUCUCUCUCUCUUGUGUUCUUGAGAUGUCUUGAUAUCGAUGUACCGUGGGCUUUGCUACUAUAGUUGGAUCUUAUGAUGUUCUUCCCCCUCUCCCUUCUUGUAAUGAAUUGAAUUUCCCCUUUGAAGUUAUCUUAUCAGAAUUAGUCUUUAAGAAUAGUUGAUGUAUGUCUUGCACGUGUCUAUCUGUUGUGAGCAACUUGCGGGUUUGUGACAAUUGGGAACUUAUGCAUAUGGGUUGGCACACGUGGAUUCAUGUGAGUACUCGAUGUAUGUUUUGGUGAUCAACUUGCGGUUCGUGACAUUGGGAACCUAUGCAUAGGGGUUGGCACACGUUUUGACUCUCCGGUAGAAACUUCGGGGCACUCUUUGAAGUCCUAUGUGUUGGUUGAAUAGAUGAUUCUGAGAUUGUGUGAUGCAUAUCGUAUAAUCAUGCCCACGGGUACUUGAGGUGACAAUGGAGUAUCUAGGUGACAUUAGGGUCUUGGUUGAUAUGUAUCUUAAGGUGUUAUGCUAGUACGAACUCUUGAAUAGAUCGAUCAUAAAGAAUAACUUUAUGGUGGUUUCGUACCCGACAAUAAUCUCUUUGUUUGUUCUCCGUUUUAGUGACUUUGGAGUGACUCUUUGUUGAAUGUUCAGGGCUUGUUAUAUGAUCCAAUUAUGUUAUCUUUGUUGAGAGAACUUCACUAGUGAAAGUAUGAACCCUAGGCCUUGUUUCCACGCAUUGCAAUACCGUUCGUGCUCCCUUUUGUUACUAGUUACCUUGCUAUUUUUGUAAUUUCAGAUUACAAAAACGUAUAUCUACCAUCCUUAUUGCACUUGUUUCAUCAUCUCUUCGCCGAACUAGUGCACCUAUACAACUUACCAUUGUAUUGGGUGUGUUGGGGACACAAGAGACUCUUUGUUAUUUGGUUGCAGGGUUGCUUGAGAGAGACCAUCUUCAUCCUACGCCUCCCGCGGAUUGAUAAACCUUAGGUCACCCACUUGAGGGAAAAUUGCUACUGUCCUACAAACCUCUGCACUUGGAGGCCCAACAACGUCUACAAGGAGAAGGUUGCGUAGUAGACAUCAAGCAUUUUUCUGGCGCCGUUGCCGGGGAGGCUAGGUAAGCGGCACUCACCUCCCGUCAACGAAGCAUUUUUCUGGAGGUUAGCGCUUGAAGGUAUAUCUUUAGAUCUUGCAAUCGAAUCUUUUUGUUUCUUGUUCUUUCGCUAGAAAACUACAAAAAAAAUUAGGAUGCCUCAUAUGCUCCAUCUUUUCAAUGUCUUUCGUGAGCAUGAUGGGAAGGAAAAUUGUGCUCAAGUGCUGAAAGAAGAAUUACAUAGAAUGCUUGGCAUAGAAUAUGUGAAUGAUGAGCAUGAUUGCAAUGUUGUUAACAUGAAUUCUAUGAAUACCCAUGAUGCUAAUGAUAUGCAAAGCCACAAGCUUGGGGAUGCUAUAUUUGAUGAAGAUGAUCUUUUUAGUUCUUCCACUUUGAAUGAUCAAAAUUAUUUUGAUGAAAGCAUGCCCCCUAUCUAUGAUGAUUAUUGUGAGGAUACUUAUGCUUUGAAGAAGAGGGAUGAUAAAACUUGUCAUACUUUCGAAAACCCCUUUGCUAAACCUUGCUUUUUCAUUGUGGACACAAUUUGUAGUGCUCAAGUCUUUUACGAUACUCCCACUACUAUACAUUGUGGUCGUGGAGGUCACCGCGUCAAGGCCAAGCAAAAAAAGGGUAAUCCCACUAGAGGACAAGAGAAGAAGUUUGAUGACGAGGAUGAUGGUGAUGAUGAAGAUGAAGAGGGAUUUGAGAGCCAAGAAUUCCAUAAGUCGAUAGAUGUUAUGUGUGUUGUGUUGGAAAUAUGCCCUAGAGGCAAUAAUAAAAUGGUUAUUAUCAUAUUUCCGUGUUCACGAUAACCGUCUAUUGUUCAUGCUAUAAUUGUAUUAACAGGAAACAGUAAUACAUGUAUGAAUAAAUAGAUCACAAUGUGUCCCUAGCAAGCCUCUAGUUGGCUAGCUCGUUGAUCAAUAGAUGAUCAUGGUUUCCUGAUCAUGGACAUUAGAUGUCAUUGAUAACGGGAUCACAUCAUUGGGAGAAUGAUGUGAUGGACAAGACCCAAUCCUAAGCAUAGCACCAGAUCGUGGUGUUCGUAUGCUAAAGCUUUUCUAAUGUCAAGUGUCUUUUCCUUCGACCGUGAGAUUGUGCAACUCCCGGAUACCGUAGGAGUGCUUUGGGUGUAUCAGACGUCACAACGUAACUGGUGACUAUAAAGGUGCACUAUGUGUAUCUCCGAAAGAGUCUGUUGGGUUGGUACGAAUCGAGAUCAGGAUUUGUCACUCCGUGUGACGGAGAGGUAUCUCUGGGCCCACUCGGUAGAACAUCAUCAUGAGCCUAAUGUGACUAAGGAGUUAGUCACGGGAUGAUGUGCAACGGAAUGAGUAAAGAGACUUACCAGUAACGAGAUUGAACAAGGUAUAGGUGUACCGACGAUCGAAUCUCGGGCAAGUUCUAUACCGACAGACAAAGCGAAUUGUAUACGGGAUUGAUUGAAUCCUUGACAUCGUGGUUCAUCCGACGAGAUCAUUGUGGAACAUGUGCGAGCCAGCAUGGGUAUCUAGACCCCGCUGAUGGUUAUUGGCCGGAGAGAUGUCUCGGUCAUGUCUGCAUGCCUCCCAAACCCGUAGGGUCUACACACUUAAGGUUCGAUGACGCUAGGGUUAUAGGGAAUAAUCAUACGAGGUUACCGAAGGUUGUUCGGAGUCCCGGAUGAGAUCUCGCACGUCACAAGGAGCUCCGGAAUGGUCCGGAGGUGAUAUAUAGGAUGGAUGGGUUUGGACGCCCGAAAUGUUUCGGGCACCACCGGCAAAGUACCAGGACCACCGAAAGGGUUCCGGAGGCUCACCGGGAGAGGCCACUAGCUCCAGGAGGCUACAUGGGCCAAGUGUGAGAGGGAACCAGCCCCUGGGUGGGUUGGUGCGCCCCCCACACCCAGCCCAUGGCGCCUAAGAGGGGGAAGGGGGGAACCCUAGCGCAGGUGGGCCUAAGGCCCACCAGGGGGUGCGCCACCCCCUCCUCCCCUCCUGGCUGCCGCCCCUCCCCCCAUCUAGGGUUGCCGCCCCCCUUCGGGGGUGGAAACCCUAAAGGGGGCGCCACCCUCCCUUCCCCCUAUAUAUAGCAGGGGGUUUGGCCAUUGGAGACACGGAAUUCCAUCUCUCUCUCGGCGCAGCCCUCCUCUUCUUCUUCCUCCUCUCCCACAGUGCUUGGCGAAGCCCUGCCGGGAGACCUCGUCUCUCCAUCGACACCAUGUCGUCGUGCUGCUGGAGAUCUUCCCCAACCUCUCCCUCCUCCUUGCUGGAUCAAGGUGCAGGAGACGUCACCGGGCUGCAUGUGUGUUGAACAUGAGGUGUCGUGGUUCGAUACUAGAUUGGAAUCACACCGCGAUCUGAAUCCCCGCGAGUACGACUCCAUCAACCGCGUUCUAGCAACGCUUCCACUUAGCGAUCUUCAAAGGUAUGAAGAUGCACUCUUCCCUCUCUCGUUUCUGGUCUCUCCAUAGGAAGAUCUGAAUAUGGCGUAGGAAAAUUUUGAAUUUAUGCUACGUUACCCAACACUGGUAUCAGAGCCAGGUUUUCUAUGCAUAGAUUCUAUGCACGAGUAGAACACAAAAAGGUUGUGGGCGAUGAUUUUGUCAAUUUCUUGCCGUUACUAGUCUUAUUCUUUUCCGGCGGUAUUAUGGGAUGAAGCGUCCCGGACCGACCUUACACGUACGCUUACGUGAGACAGGUUCCACCGACCAACAUGCACUAGGUGCAUAAGGUGGCUAGCGGGUGUCUGUAUCUCCCACUCUAGUCGGAUUGGAUUUGAUGAAAAUGGUCCUUAUGAAGGGUAAAUAGCUUUGGCAUAUUAUCGUUGUGGCUGUCACGUAGGUAUGAAGGCGUUCUUGCUAGAAACCCAAAUCAGCCACGUAAAACUUGCAACAACAAUUAGAGGAUGUCUAACUUGUUUUUGCAGGGUUUGACAUGUGAUGUGAUAUGGCCAAAGGUUGUGAUGUUACAUGUGUGAUGUAUGAGAUGAUCAUGUUCUUGUAAUAGGAUUCACGACUUGCAUGUCGAUGAGUAUGACAACCGGAACGAGCCAUAGGAGUUGUCUUAAUUUAUUGUAUGAGAUGCAACGCCAUGUGUUUACUACUUUUACUUCAUUGCUAACGGUUCGCUAUAGUAGUAGUAGUUUGUGUGACGACUUCACGGAGACACGAUGAUGGAGAUCAUGAUGAUGGAGAUCAUGGUGUCAUGCCGGUGACAAUGAUGUUCAUGCGAUGCCCGAAGAUGGAGAUCGAAGGAGCAAAGAUGAUAAUGGCCAUAUCAUGUCACUAUAUGAUUGCAUGUGAUGUUUAUCAUGUUUUUCAUCUUAUUGCUUAGAACGACGGUAGCAUAAUAAGAUGAUCCCUCAUGAAAUUUCAAGAACGUAUUCCCCUAAGUGUGCACUGUUGCAAAGGAUCGUUGUCUCGAAGCACCACGUGAUGAUCGGGUGUGAUAGAUUCUAACGUUCGCAUACAAUGGGUGUAAGCCAGAUUUACACACGCGAAACACUUAGGUUGACUUGACGAGCUUAGCAUGUACAGACAUGACCUCGAAUAAAAGAGAACGAAAGGUGGAACAUGAGUCGUAUGGUUGAAUACGAUCAGCAUGAAGUUGCUCACCAUGACGACUAGUCCGUCUCACGUGAUGAUCGGACACGGGUUAGUUGACAUGGAUCAUGUAUCACUUAGAUGACUAGAGGGAUGUCGAUUUAAGUGGGAGUUCAUACUUAAUUUGAUUAAAUGAACUUAAUUAUGAUGAACUUAGUCUAAAAGUUGUCUUUACAAAUAUUGUAGAUCCGAUGGCCAACGCACCUGUCAACCUCAAUUUCAACGCGUUCCUAGAGAAAAACAAGCUGGAAGAUGAUGGUAGCAACUAUGCGGACUGGGUUCGCAACUUGAAGCUCAUCCUCAUUGCAUCCAAGAAGGCUUAUGUCCUUGAUGUGCCGCUUGGUGACCCCCCUGUUCCCGCGGCAGCCCAAGAUGUUCAGAACAUCUGGCAAGCGCAGAGUGAUGACUACUCUCUGGUUAGGUGUGGCAUGUUAUAUAGUUUAGAACCGGGGCUCCAAAGGCGUUUUGAGCAACACGGAGUAUAUGAGAUGUUCCAGGAGCUGAAGCUAGUUUUUCAAGCUCAUGCCCGGGUCGAGAGAUAUGAAGUCUCCGACAAGUUCUUUAGCUGCAAGAUGGAGGAGAACAGUUCUGUUAGUGAGCAUAUUCUCAGAAUGUCUGGGCUGCACGGACAUCUGACUCAGCUUGGAGUCGAACUUCCGGAUGACAUUGUAAUUGACAGAAUCCUCCAGUCUCUCCCACCAAGCUACAAGGGUUUUGUGCUGAACUACAACAUGCAAGGGAUGGAGAAGUCCAUUCCAGAGUUGUACUCGAUGCUCAAGUCUGCAGAAGUAGAAGUCAAGAAAGAGCAUCAAGUGUUGAUGGUCAACAAGACCACCAGUUUCAAGAAGGGCAAGGGUAAUAAGUACUUCACGAAAGACGGCAAAGCCGUUGGCGCACCCGGUAAGCCAGAUGCCGGGAAGAAGAAAAAGAACGGACCCAAGACUGAGACUGAGUGCUUCUAUUGCAAGGGAAAAGGCCACUCGAAGCGGAACUAUCCCAAGUACUUAGCCGAUAAGAGGGCCGGCAACGUUAAAGGUAUAUAGGAUAUACAUGUUAUUGAUGUGUACCUUACCAGCGCUCGUAGUAGCUCAUGGGUAUUUGAUACCGGUGCUUGAUACGUCCCCAACGUAUCUAUAAUUUUUUAUGGUUUCAUGCUAUUAUCUUGUCAAACUUUGGAUGUUUUGUAUGCCUUUUAUAUCUUUUUGGAAUUAACUUAUUAACUCAGUGCCAAGUGCCAGUUCCAAUUUUUUCCGUGUUUUUGACCCUUUUCAGAGGAGGAUUUUAAACGGAGUCCAAACGUAAUGAAACUUCCAAAAAGAUUUUUUUUCGAAACAGAAGACGAUCGGGAGACUUGAGAACCAAGGCACAGGGUCAACAGGGACCCCACAAGCCCCCUAGCCACGGCCAGGGGGCGCCUCCCAGGCUUCUGGGCUCCCUCGGCCUCCUCUGCCCUAGUCUUUCGCCUAUAUAUUCCCUAAAAUCCCAGAAAAAAUCAGGAGAGCCACGAAAAUACUUUUCCGCCGCCGCAAGCUUCUCUCUCCGCAAGAUCCCAUCUCGGGCACGUUCUGGUGCCCUGCCGGAGGGAGGAUUCGGAUACGGAGGGCUUAUUCAUCAACACCAUGACCUAUCCGAUGAUGCGUGAGUAGUUCACCAUAGACCUACGGGUCCAUAGCUAGUAGCUAGAUGGCUUCUUCUCUCUCUUGGAUCUUCAAUACAAAGUUCUCCAUGAUCUUCAUGGAGAUCUAUCCGAUGUAAUCUUCUUUUUGCGGUGUGUUUGUCGAGAUCCGAUGAAUUGUGGAUUUAUGAUCAGAUUAUGUAUGAAUCUUAUUUGAGUUUCUUCUGAUCUCUUAUAUGCAUGAUUUCAUAUCCUUGUAAUUCUCUUCGAGUUGUGGGUUUUGUUUGGCCAGCUUGAUCUAUGAUUCUUGCAAUGGGAGAAGUGCUUGGUUUUGGGUUCAUACUGUGCGGUGAUCCCACCCAGUGACAGAAGGGGUAGCGAGGCACGCAUCGUGUUGUUACCAUCAAGGGUAAAAGGAUGGGGUUUUCAUCAUUGGUUUGAGUUUAUCCCUCUACAUCAUGUCAUCUUGCUUAAGGUGUUACUCUGUUCGUCAUGAACUCAAUACACUAGAUGCAUGCUGGAUAGCGGUCGAUGUGUGUAGUAAUAGUAGUAGAUGCAGAAAGUAUCGGUCUACUUGUCUCGGACGUGAUGCCUAUAUGUAUGAUCAUUGCCUUAGAUAUCGUCAUGACUUUGCGCGGUUCUAUCAAUUGCUCGACAGUAAUUUGUUCACCCACCGUAAUAUUUGUUGUUUUGAGAGAAGCCUCUAGUGAACACUAUGGCCCCCGGGUCUACUUCACAUCAUAUUUUCAUCCUUACACUUUUACUUCGUUGCUAUUUCCGCCUUCAGAUCUCACUUUGCAAUCAAUCAUGAAGGGAUUGACAACCCCUUUAUAGCGUUGGGUGCAAGCUCUUUUGUGUUUGCGCAGGUACUCUGGACUUGACGCGAUUCUCCUACUGGAUUGAUACCUUGGUUCUCAAACUGAGGGAAAUACUUACUGCCCCUGUGCUGCAUCACCCUUUCCUCUUCAAGGGAAAAACCAACGCAAGCAAGUCUCCGUCAACGUGUCAAUUUCUGGCAAUGUUGUUUGAGAAGUAGCAGAAGGAUUUCUGGCGCCGUUGCCGGGGAGGAUCAAGUCAAGAACUCAUCCAAGUAAGUGUCGCAAACUCAUCUCUUGCAUUUACUUUUUUGCCUCUCAUUUUCCUCUCCCCCACUUCUGAAAAACAAAAAAUUACAAAAAUAUUUGCCUUUUUCGUUUGCCUUUUUUGUUCGCCCUCUUCUCUCGCUUGCUUUCUAUUCACUUGUGUGCUUGCUUGCUUCCUGAAGUCACCAUGACUGAAAACACCAAACUUUGUGACUUCGCGAAUACUAAUAAUAAUGAUUUUAUUAGUACUCUGAUUGCUCCCGCCACUAGUGCAUAAUCAUACGAAAUCAAUGCUGCUUUGCUGAAUCUUGUUAUGAAAGAGCAAUUCUCCGGCCUUCCUAGUGAAGAUGUCGCAUCCCAUCUUAAUACCUUCAUUGAGCUUUGCGAUAUGCAAAAGGAGAAAGAUGUGGAUAAUGAUGUGAUUAAAUUGAAGCUUUUUCCGUUCUCGUUGCGAGAUAGAGCAAAAACUUGGUUUUCGUCUUUGCCCAAAAAUAGUAUUGAUUUUUGGAACAAGUGCAAAGAUGCUUAUAUAUCCAAGUAUUUUCCGCGGGCUAAGAUUAUCUCUCUCCGUAAUGAUAUCAUGAAUUUUAAGCAACUUGAUCAUGAACAUGUUGCACAAUCUUGGGAAAGGAUGAAAUUGAUGAUUAGAAAUUGUCCCGGUCAUGGCUUGAGUCUUUGGAUGAUUAUACAAAUCUUUUACGCUGGCUUGAAUUUCGCUUCUAGAAAUAUCUUGGACUCCGCCUCAGGUGGAACUUUCAUGGAAAUCACGUUAGUAGAAGCUACAAAACUUCUAGACAAUAUCAUGACAAACUACUCUCAGUGGCACACUGAAAGGUCACCUACUAGUAAAAAGGUACACGCUAUAGAAGAAAUUAACUCGUUGAGUGCUAAGAUGGAUGAGUUAAUGAAUUUGGUUGCUAGUAUAAGUGCUCCUUUAGAUCCUAAUGACAUGCCCUUGUCUUCCUUGAUUGAGAGUAGCAACGCUAGCUUGGACGUUAAUUUUGUUGGUAGGAAUAAUUUUGGCAACAACAAUUCUUUUAGAGGAAACUAUGUUCCUAGGCCUUUUCCUAGUAACUCCUCUAAUAACUUUGGCAACUCCUACAACAAUACUCAUGGAAAUUACAAUAGAUUACCCUCUGAUCUAAAGAGUAAUAUCAAAGAGUUUAUCAACUCAUAAAAGAUUUUCAAUGCGUCCAUAGAGGAAAAACUGCUCAAAAUUGACGAUUUGGCUAGGAGAGUUGAUAGAAUGUCUAGUAAUAUUGAUGCUUUAAAAGUUAGAUGUGCUCUGAUACGUCUCCAACGUAUCUAUAAUUUUUUACGGUUCCAUGCUAUUAUCUUGUCAACUUUGGAUGUUUUAUAUGCAUGAAUAUGCUAUUUUAUAUCUUUUUUGGGACUAACCUAUUAACUCAGUGCCAAGUGCCAGUUUCUGUUUUUUCCGUGUUUUUGGCCCAUUUUCAGACGGAGUCCAAAUGGAAUGAAACUUUACGAUGAUUUUUUUUUGGACCAAAAGAGACCCCCGAAGCUUUGGGAGAAGACCAGAUGGGCCACGAGGGAGUCACAAGCCCUCACGACGCCACCAACCCCCCCCCCCCUCCGGUGGUGGCGCGCAGGCUUGUGACCUCCUCGUGGGCCCAACUGACGCAAUUCCACCGCCAUAAAUUCCUAUAAAUUCACAAACCCUCAGAAAGAAACCUAGAUCGGGAGUUCCGCCGCCGCAAGCCUCUGUAGCCACCAAAAACCAAUCUAGAGCCCAUUCCGGCACCCUGCCGGAGGAGGAAUCCAUCUCCGGUGGCCAUCUUCAUCAUCCCGGCGAUCUCCAUGACGAGGAGGGAGUAGUUCUCCCUCGGGGCUGAGGGUAUGUACGAGUAGCUAUGUGUUUGAUCUCUCUCUCUCGUGUUCUUGAGAUGUCUUGAUCUCGAUGUACCAUGGGCUUUGCUACUAUAGUUGGAUCUUAUGAUGUUCUUCCCCCUCUCCUUCUUGUAAUGAAUUGAGUUUCCCCUUUGGAUUUAUCUUAUCGGAUUGAGUCUUUGAGAACACUUGAUGUAUGUAUUGCACGUGUCUAUCUGUUGUGAUCAACUUGCGGGUUUGUGACAAUUGGGAACCUAUGCAUAUGGGUUGGCACAUGUGGAUUCAUGUGAGUACUUGAUGUAUGUUUUGGUGAUCAACUUGCGGGUUCGUGACAUUGGGAACCUAUGCACAGCGGUUGGCACAUGUUUUGACUCUGUGGUAGAAACUUUGGGGCACUCUUUCAAGUUCUAUGUGUUGGUUGAAUAGAUGAUUCUGAGAUUGUGUGAUGCAUAUCGUAUAAUCAUACCCAGGGAUACUUGAGGUGACAAUGGAGUAUCUAGGUGACAUUAGGGUCUUGGUUGAUAAGUAUCUUAAGGUGUUAUUCUAGUACGAACUCUAUGAAAGAUUGAACGGAAAGAAUAGCUUCGUGUUAUUUUACUACGGACUCUUGAAUAGAUCGAUUAGAAAGAAUAACUUUGUGGUGGUUUCGUACCCGACAAUAAUCUCUUUGUUUGUUCCCCGCUAUUAGUGACUUUGGAGUGACUCUUUGUUGCAUGUCGAGGGCUAGUUAUAUGAUCCAAUUAUGUUAUCAUUGUUGAGAGAACUUCACUAGUGAAAGUAUGAACCCUAGGCCUUGUUUCGACGCAUUGCAAUAUCAUUCGUGCUCACUUUUACCAUUUGUUACCUUGCUGUUUUUGUAAUUUCAGAUUACAAAAACCUAUAUCUAUCAUCCAUAUUGCACUUGUUUCACCAUCUCUUCGCUGAACUAGUGCACCUAUACAACUUACCAUUGUAUUGGGUGUGUUGGGGACACAAGAGACUCUUUGUUAUUUGGUUGCAGGGUUGAUUGAGAGAGACCAUCUUCAUCCUACGCCUCCUGCGGAUUGAUAAACCUUAGGUCACCCACUUGAGGGAAAAUUGCUACUGUCCUACAAACCUCUGCACUUGGAGGCCCAACAACGUCUACAAGGAGAAGGUUGCGUAGUAGACAUCAAGCUCUUUUCUGGCGCCGUUGCCGGGGAGGCUAGGAAAGCAGCACUAACAUCCCGUCAACGAAGCUCUUUUCUGGCGCCGUUGCCGGGGAGGUUAGCGCUUGAAGGUAUAUCUUUAGAUCUUGCAAUCGAAUCUUUUUGUUUCUUGUUCUUUCGCUGAAAAUUACAAAAAAAUGGAAUUGAGGAUGCCUCAUAUGCUCCAUCUUUUCAAUGUCUUUCAUGAGCAUGAUGGGAAGGAAAAUUGUGCUCAAGUGCUGAAAGAAGAAUUACAUAGAAUGCUUGGCAUAGAAUAUGUGAAUGAUGAGCAUGAUUGCAAUGUUGUGAGGAUACUUAUGCUUUAAAGAAGAGGGAUGAUAAACUUGUCAUACUCUCGAGAACCCCUUUGCUAAACCUUGCUUUUUCAUCGUGGACACAAUUUGUAGUGCUCAAGUCUUUUACAAUACUCCCACUACUAUUCUUGAGAAUAGAUUUCCUUAUGUGGAGAGUAGUAAAAUUCCUAUGCUUGUAGAUCAUGAAAAGAAUGCUUUAGGUGCUGUUUAUAUUGUUGAAUUCAUUCAUGAUGCUACUGAAAAUUACUAUGAGAGAGGAUCAUAUGCUUCUACUUAUUGCAAUAGUAUCAAUCUUCCUCUCCAUAUGUUGAAAUUUUUGAAGCUAUGCUUGUUUUGCCUUCCUAUGCUAGUUGAUUCUUGCUCCAAUAAAUUGUUUGAUCACAAAAUCCCUAUGCAUAGGAAGUGGGUUAGACUCAAAUGUGCUAGCCAUUUUCUCCAUGAUACUCUCGUUGUGUUCCAAUCCUUACCUUAUAUGUGAGCAUCAUUGAAAUCAAUGCCUAGCUAAGGGCGUUAAACGAUAGCGCUUGUUGGGAGGCAACCCAAUGAAUAAAUUGUUCUUUCCUUUUUCUUUCUGUUUUUUGUUUUCCACACUUUCAUAAUUCUGUUAUGAUUGUGUUUUUUGUGUUUAUUUUUUGCGUUUGUGCCAAGCAAAACCGUUAUGAUUAGUCUUGGGGAUGAUCGUUUGGUCAUGCUGGAAAAGAAAGAAACUUUCUGCUCACGAAAAGAAUUUUCUUUUUUUUUCUGUAAUAGAUUUUGAGUUGAUUCUUUUUUAUUCUCAUUGCUACGCAAAUUCUUUAGACUUUCAUAAUUGUUCAGAUUUUUUGAAGUACCAGAGGUAUACGAAAUAUACAUAUUGCUACAGACUGGUAUGCUGUUAACAGAUUCUGUUUUUUUUUWGUGUUGGUUGCUUAUUUUGAUGAAACUAUGGAUAGUAUCGGGAGGUAUUAGCCAUGGAAGAUUGAAAAUACAGUAACCCAACAUCAGCAUAAGUAGAAUUUAAGUUUGCUACAGUACCUAAGGAAGUGGUGGUUUGCUUUCUCAUACUAAUGUUAUCACGAGUUUCUGUUUAAGUUUCGUGCUGUGAAGUUUUCAAGUUUUGGGUGAAGUUCUUAUGGACAAAGAGAUAAACAGUGGCAAGAGAUCAAGCUUG